Prosopis cineraria is the source of this 76-nucleotide small nucleolar RNA. RefSeq annotates it as small nucleolar RNA U31b. The record is from RefSeq and is a predicted model, not a curated record. The transcript has a single exon. Lineage: Eukaryota; Viridiplantae; Streptophyta; Magnoliopsida; Fabales; Fabaceae.
GGAUUUGAUGAUAACUUUUGACGCCCAGUCUUACGUGCUCCUUUGGUGCAGCGUGGUGAAAUUAACUGUCUGAUCC